RNAcentral lists this ribosomal RNA (750 nucleotides) under uncultured Segetibacter sp. RNAcentral describes it as "bacterial SSU rRNA". It matches the Rfam family "Bacterial small subunit ribosomal RNA", at positions 96 to 847 of the family's 1533-position model. The record is from RNAcentral. Lineage: Bacteria; Pseudomonadati; Bacteroidota; Chitinophagia; Chitinophagales; Chitinophagaceae.
CGGCAAACGGGUGUGGAACACGUACAGAACCUUCCUUUAAGCGGGAGAUAGCCCGGAGAAAUCCGGAUUAAUACCCCAUAGUAUUACUGAUUGGCAUCAAUUGGUAAUUAAAGAUUUAUCACUUAAAGAUGGCUGUGCGGCUGAUUAGGUAGUUGGUGUAGGUAAAGGCUCACCAAGCCAGCGAUCAGUAACUGGUGUGAGAGCACGACCAGUCACACGGGCACUGAGACACGGGCCCGACUCCUACGGGAGGCAGCAGUAAGGAAUAUUGGUCAAUGGAGGCAACUCUGAACCAGCCAUGCCGCGUGAAGGAUGAAGGUCCUCUGGAUUGUAAACUUCUUUUAUGUGGGAAGAAAUGCAUUCUUUAUAGAGUGUUUGACGGUACCAUAGGAAUAAGCACCGGCUAACUCCGUGCCAGCAGCCGCGGUAAUACGGAGGGUGCAAGCGUUAUCCGGAUUCACUGGGUUUAAAGGGUGCGUAGGUGGGAAUGUAAGUCAGUGGUGAAAUCUCUGAGCUUAACUCAGAAACUGCCAUUGAUACUAUGUUUCUUGAAUUUUCUGGAGGUCAGCGGAAUAUGUCAUGUAGCGGUGAAAUGCUUAGAUAUGACAUAGAACACCAAUUGCGAAGGCAGCUGACUACAGGGAUAUUGACACUGAGGCACGAAAGCGUGGGGAUCAAACAGGAUUAGAUACCCUGGUAGUCCACGCCCUAACGAUGGAUACUCGACAUUUGUGAUAGACAAUAAGUGUC